AACGCGAAGAACCUUACCUGGGCUCGAACGGCUUUGGAUCGACGGUGGAAACACUGUUUUCCCGCAAGGGACCGGAGUCGAGGUGCUGCAUGGCUGUCGUCAGCUCGUGUCGUGAGAUGUUGGGUUAAGUCCCGCAACGAGCGCAACCCUUGUCCUGUGUUGCCACUCCGUAAGGAAGCACUCUCAGGAGACCGCCAGCGAUAAGUUGGAGGAAGGUGGGGAUGAUGUCAAGUCAUCAUGGCCUUUAUGUCCAGGGCUACACACGUGCUACAAUGGUCGGUACAAAGCGCUGCAAACCCGCGAGGGGGAGCUAAUCGCAAAAAGCCGGCCUCAGUUCGGAUUGCAGGCUGCAACUCGCCUGCAUGAAGCUGGAAUCGCUAGUAAUGCCGUAUCAGAAUGAUGGCGUGAAUACGUUCCCGGGCCUUGUACACACCGGCUAC
Molecule: ribosomal RNA, 440 nt
Filed under: uncultured bacterium
Lineage: Bacteria
Description: bacterial SSU rRNA
Rfam family: Bacterial small subunit ribosomal RNA
Source: RNAcentral